Molecule: ribosomal RNA, 387 nt
Filed under: uncultured bacterium
Lineage: Bacteria
Description: bacterial SSU rRNA
Rfam family: Bacterial small subunit ribosomal RNA
Source: RNAcentral
GACGAACGCUGGCGGCGUGCUUAACACAUGCAAGUCGAGCGGUAAGGCCCUUUCGGGGUACACGAGCGGCGAACGGGUGAGUAACACGUGGGUGACCUGCCCUCAGCUCUGGGAUAAGCCUGGGAAACUGGGUCUAAUACCGGAUAUGACUCCAUGACGCAUGUUGUGGGGUGGAAAGCCUUGUGCGGCUGAGGAUGGGCCCGCGGCCUAUCAGCUUGUUGGUGGGGUGANGGCCUACCAAGGCGACGACGGGUAGCCGGCCUGAGAGGGCGACCGGCCACACUGGGACUGAGACACGGCCCAGACUCCUACGGGAGGCAGCAGUGGGGAAUCUUGCGCAAUGGGCGAAAGCCUGACGCAGCGACGCCGCGUGAGGGAUGACGGCCU